Molecule: ribosomal RNA, 529 nt
Filed under: uncultured bacterium
Lineage: Bacteria
Description: partial 16S ribosomal RNA
Source: RNAcentral
CACUCUUGCGAGCAUACUUCCCAGGCGGGAUACUUAACGCGUUAGCUUUGAUACUGCACAGGUCGAUCUGUUCAACAUCUAGUAUCCAUUGUUUACAGCUAGGACUACUGGGGUAUCUAAUCCCAUUUGCUACCCUAGCUUUCGUCUCUGAGUGUUAGUAAUAGCCCAGUAAAGUGCCUUCGCCAUCGGUGUUCUUUCCAAUAUCUACGCAUUUCACCGCUCCACUGGAAAUUCCCUUUACCCCUACUAUACUCUAGUCUAAUAGUUUCGACUGCUGAUUUGAAGUUGAGCCUCAAGAUUUAACAGUUGACUUACUAAACCACCUACAGACGCUUUACGCCCAGUAAUUCCGGAUAACACUUGCACCCUCCGUCUUACCGCAGCUGCUGGCACGGAGUUAGCCGGUGCUUAUUCUUCAGGUACACGUCAUUUUAUUCCUCCCUGAAAAAAGAGGUUUACAACCCAUAGGCAUUCUUCCCUCACGCGGUAUUGCUCCGUCAGGCUUUCGCCCAUUGCGGAAAAUUCCCCA